CCUACGGGUGGCUGCAGUGGGGAAUAUUGCACAAUGGGGGAAACCCUGAUGCAGCGACGCCGCGUGAGUGAAGAAGUAUCUCGGUACGUAAAGCUCUAUCAGCGGGGAGGAUAAUGACGGUACCUGAACAAGAAGCCCCGGCUAACUACGUGCCAGCAGCCGCGGUAAUACGUAGGGCGCAAGCGUGAACCGGAUUUACUGGGUGUAAAGGGAGCGUAGACGGCAGCACAAGUCUGGAGUGAAAUCCCGGGGCUUAACCCCGGAACUGCUUUGGAAACUGGGCGGCUGGAGUGCAGGAGGGGUAAGCAGAAUUCCAAGUGUAGCGGUGAAAUGCGUAGAUAUCAGGAGGAACACCGGUGGCGAAGGCGGCUUACUGGACAGUAACUGACGCUGAGGCGCGAAAGCGUGGGGAGCAAACAGGAUUAGAUACCCGUGUAGUC
RNAcentral lists this ribosomal RNA (440 nucleotides) under uncultured bacterium. RNAcentral describes it as "partial 16S ribosomal RNA". It matches the Rfam family "Bacterial small subunit ribosomal RNA", at positions 338 to 795 of the family's 1533-position model. The record is from RNAcentral.